CAGUAGCCGCGGUAAUACGGAGGGUGCAAGCGUUAAUCGGAAUUACUGGGCGUAAAGCGUGCGUAGGCGGUUUGUUAAGUCUGUUGUGAAAUCCCCGGGCUCAACCUGGGAAUGGCAAUGGAUACUGGCAAGCUAGAGUGUGUCAGAGGAUGGUGGAAUUCCCGGUGUAGCGGUGAAAUGCGUAGAGAUCGGGAGGAACAUCAGUGGCGAAGGCGGCCAUCUGGGACAACACUGACGCUGGGGCACGAAAGCGUGGGGAGCAAACAGGAUUAGAGACCCGCGUAGUCCCUGUCUCUUAUAC
This 301-nucleotide ribosomal RNA is filed under the name uncultured bacterium. Its description in RNAcentral is "partial 16S ribosomal RNA". It matches the Rfam family "Bacterial small subunit ribosomal RNA", at positions 509 to 807 of the family's 1533-position model. The record is from RNAcentral.